UGCACUUUAUUCAUAGAAAAUACCAAAAACUAGUACAUCAUCCGAGGUAUUCAACCCUGAAAACACACAUCCAAAAUCAACAAGAAAAUACAUCACAGUAGCAAACGGAUAACGGUGCAUCCCUCAAUACUCCUCCUCAUCCCCUUCGUCUCCUUCACCAGACUCAGCGCCAACUUCUUCAUAAUCUUUUUCCAGGGCAGCAAGAUCUUCACGUGCCUCGGAAAACUCUCCUUCCUCCAUGCCCUCACCAACAUACCAGUGCACAAAUGCACGCUUGGCAUACAUGAGAUCAAAUUUAUGAUCAAUG
RNAcentral lists this long non-coding RNA (307 nucleotides) under Gossypium raimondii (Peruvian cotton). RNAcentral describes it as "long non-coding RNA (GRAI_LNC007066)". Lineage: Eukaryota; Viridiplantae; Streptophyta; Magnoliopsida; Malvales; Malvaceae. The record is from RNAcentral.